RNAcentral lists this ribosomal RNA (395 nucleotides) under uncultured bacterium. RNAcentral describes it as "bacterial SSU rRNA". It matches the Rfam family "Bacterial small subunit ribosomal RNA", at positions 362 to 774 of the family's 1533-position model. The record is from RNAcentral.
UCUUGGACAAUGGGCGCAAGCCUGAUCCAGCCAUGCCGCGUGAGUGAAGAAGGCCUUAGGGUUGUAAAACUCUUUCGCCGGAGAAGAUAAUGACGGUAUCCGGAGAAGAAGCCCCGGCUAACUACGUGCCAGCAGCCGCGGUAAUACGUAGGGGGCAAGCGUUGUCCGGAUUUACUGGGCGUAAAGCGCGUGUAGGCGGCCACGCAGGUCCGUUGUGAAAACUGGAGGCUCAACCUCCAGACGUCGACGGAAACCGUGUGGCUAGAGUCCGGAAGAGGAGAGUGGAAUUCCUGGUGUAGCGGUGAAAUGCGCAGAUAUCAGGAAGAACACCAAUGGCGAAGGCAGCUCUCUGGGACGGUACUGACGCUGAGACGCGAAAGCGUGGGGAGCGAACA